CAGUCGCCACGGGAAUACGAAGGGGGCUAGCGUUGUUCGGAAUUACUGGGCGUAAAGCGCACGUAGGCGGAUAUUUAAGUCAGGGGCGAAAUCCCAGAGCUCAACUCUGGAACUGCCUUUGAUACUGGGUAUCUUGAGUAUGGAAGAGGUGAGUGGAAUUCCGAGUGUAGAGGUGAAAUUCGUAGAUAUUCGGAGGAACACCAGUGGCGAAGGCGGCUCACUGGUCCAAUACUGACGCUCAUGCACGAAAGCGUGGGGAGCAAACAGGAUUAGAUACCCGCGUAGUCCCUGUCUCUUAUAC
RNAcentral lists this ribosomal RNA (301 nucleotides) under uncultured bacterium. Its description in RNAcentral is "partial 16S ribosomal RNA". It matches the Rfam family "Bacterial small subunit ribosomal RNA", at positions 509 to 807 of the family's 1533-position model. The record is from RNAcentral.